UACGGAGGGUGCAAGCGUUGUCCGGAUUUAUUGGGUUAAAGGGUGCGUAGGCGGCCUUUUAAGUCAGUGGUGAAAUCCUCCAGCUUAACUGGAGAACUGCCAUUGAUACUGAAAGGCUUGAGUACAGACGAGGUAGGCGGAAUUGACAGUGUAGCGGUGAAAUGCAUAGAUAUUGUCAAGAACACCGAUUGCGUAGGCAGCUUACUAGGCUGUAACUGACGCUGAGGCACGAAAGUGCGGGGAUCAAACAGG
Molecule: ribosomal RNA, 252 nt
Filed under: uncultured bacterium
Lineage: Bacteria
Description: partial 16S ribosomal RNA
Rfam family: Bacterial small subunit ribosomal RNA
Source: RNAcentral